AACUCCAAUUUUAACUCCAUUACGAUUUCCAUGGCCAAACGGGGCCUAAAAUGGUGGUCAAAUAAUGCAAACAUAGGUGAUCAAGUGAAACGAGCAACACCGUAGUUUCCACAUUUCAUUUUCUGGCUGGGUUGGCGGCCUGCUUCAAUUUCCCUUUCUUCCCCAGGAGCAGCAGCUAUGGAGCUCUCUUUAUCCAACUCUUCUUCUUUUCGUUUUCGUCGAUAUGAUUUCGUUCCACGUCUCCAUAGUUUCUCAGGACUUGGAUCAUUUCAUACGUUUUCCAGCAAUAAAUCAAUUUCUGUACGGAGACCGUUGAUUUGGCGCCAACCUCGUUUACUUAGAAUCAAAGCUCAAACUGCUAUAGAUGGCAAUUCGAGUGACGAUUUUAUUAUAGAGGAUGUUCCUCAUUUGACCUAUUUUCUUCCUGAUUUACCUUCAUAUACUAAUCCAUUGAAAAGGAGCCAAGCUUAUGCUAUUGUCAAGAAAACUUUUGUUAAUCCAGAAGAUAUGGUGGCAAAGGAAAUCAUUGUUCAGAAGGACAGCCCCAGGGGAAUACAUUUUCGGCGUGCAGGACCCCGAGAAAAGGUUUUCUUCACUCCGGAAGAAGUCCGUGCUUGUAUUGUCACAUGUGGUGGUUUAUGCCCAGGAAUCAAUACAGUGAUUCGUGAAAUUGUAUGUGGCUUAAAGAAUAUGUAUGGAGUUGAUGAUGUACUUGGAAUUCAGGGAGGUUACAGUGGGUUUUACUCAAAAAAUACCCUGAACUUGACAACAAAAGUUGUUAAUGAUAUUCAUAAACGUGGUGGAACCUUUCUUCAAACGUCUAGAGGUGGUCAUGAUACGAAAAAGAUAGUUGACAACAUUCAAGACCGUGGAAUAAAUCAGGUAUACAUAAUUGGAGGGGAUGGAACUCAAAAGGGGGCUGCUGCAAUCUACAAGUUGAAAAACGUGGUAUUAAAGUGGCUGUUGCUGGGAUUCCCAAGACAAUUGAUAAUGAUAUCGCGUCAUUAUGAUUUAUGCGAUAUAUCGAGGAAACAAGGGAAAGAGCAAAGAAACAAAAGUUCUGUUCAACUACUUAUACCAUACGUGAUAGACAAAUCUUUUGGCUUUGAUACUGCUGUGGAGGAAGCUCAGAGGGCCAUUAAUGCUGCCCAUGUCGAGGCAGAAAGCGUGGAGAAUGGAGUUGGUAUAGUAAAGCUUAUGGGAAGAUACAGCGGAUUCAUUGCAAUGCUUGCAACUUUGGGUAACCGUGAUGUGGACUGUUGCUUGAUCCCAGAGUCCCCAUUUUACUUGGAAGGUCCAGGCGGGCUCUAUGAAUAUGUGGAGCAGCAGCUCAAAGAAAAUAGGCAUGUGCUAAUUGUAUUAGCAGAAGGUGCUGGGCAGGAAUAUGUUGCUCAAAGUAUGCAAGCAUUUCAAGAGAAAGAUGCAUCAGGAAAUAGGCUACUCCUCGACGUUGGUCUUUGGUUAACACAACAUAUUAAGGAUCAUUUCACAAAUGUCCGUAAGAUGACAAUAAAUAUGAAAUACAUAGGGAUGCUUGAUAGAGUUCAACCAGGUGUUUUGGUGUACAACAGACCCUACUUACAUGAUUCGAGCAAUUCCAAGCAAUGCAUCAGAUAACAUCUACUGUACACUUCUUGCACAAAGUGCUGUCCAUGGAGCAAUGGCUGGAUUCACAGGCUUCACAGUUGGACCUGUAAACAGCAGACAUGCGUAUAUUCCAAUUAAUCGUGUCACUGAGACUACAAACACCGUGAACAUAACAGGCAGGAUGUGGGCACGACUUCUUGCCUCUACUAAUCAACCAAGUUUCGUUCAUCAUUGUCAGACCGUGAGGGAAAAAGUUGAUAAACAGACUAUUGAUGCAAUUAACAAUAUGCAGAUUAAUUCUAUAUAGAUUUUAUCAUCCUGUAGUUUCUCUCCACAAACAUUCUUAUCAACUAGAUAUUUAUUUCAAGUCUAAUUUGUUGGGAGCUGUAGUUGCCCAGUUCUGAAGAGGAAAGUAGUUGAAUAUUUUUUAUCCAUAUCAAAAUAUUUAGUGUACAGUUGUCGCCACACAUCCAAUACCUUUGUUUUUUUUUUUCGUUUUUUUUUCUUUUCUAGGUAGGAAAAGAGAGAUUAUUCAAUGUGGAAGAUUAUAGUCUGCUUUUUGUUGCCACUUACGACCUUAAUACUAGCUGUACUGGAUAUGAAGUGCUUUUCAGUCAUUUAGUUUAAAAACUAUUUGUUCUUUUAUUUUUUUAUAUUUGAAUUCA
RNA transcript from Capsicum annuum, 2252 nucleotides. It is a transcript of the gene named ATP-dependent 6-phosphofructokinase 4, chloroplastic, with no coding region annotated. The transcript has 16 exons. Lineage: Eukaryota; Viridiplantae; Streptophyta; Magnoliopsida; Solanales; Solanaceae. The record is from RefSeq and is a predicted model, not a curated record.